RNAcentral lists this ribosomal RNA (2715 nucleotides) under Triticum aestivum (bread wheat). RNAcentral describes it as "partial small subunit ribosomal RNA". Lineage: Eukaryota; Viridiplantae; Streptophyta; Magnoliopsida; Poales; Poaceae. The record is from RNAcentral.
AUGGCCGCCGCCGCGUUCUCCAUCAGGGAGUACGCGGCGAGCAUGAGGGGCGGGACGGCGAAGGAGGGGCGGCGUUUCUUGGGAAUCGAGGAUCUCCCGCCUCUCGGAGCGCCGAGGUGCCGGUGGUGGGCGGACGAGCUCGCCUCCACCGUGGCUGCUGCAGCUGCGGCGGUGGCGUCCUCGAGGAGGGCGCAAGGGAAGGCGAAGCCGCCGAAGAAGCGGUCCAUCUCCGACCUCUUCGCCGCGGCGCCCCCUUUGGCCGUGCCCCCCGCCGGUGAUACCGGAUGCAAAGAGCAAAUGGAUUUGGACGGCGACGAGGCGCUGUGCGCGAUCGCGAGGCGGGCGAAGGAGGAGAAGAAACGAAAGAGAAAGCUGCAAGAAGAGGAGGAGGGGCAGAAGGAGGAGACGGCGGCAGUUGAUGCCGCGCCGGAGAGCAGCGGAGGCCGAGAGCCCGAGGGGAAUUUCGCUGCAAGAAAGGAAGCACUUGAAAAUCCAAACCUGUUUGAUGGACUGGAUACUCACUCAUUACAGAAACCUGAGGCUUCACAACAUCACAGAGAAGAGAGAGAAAAGAUAUCUGAGAGAAGGAAGCAGGGGAAGAUCAAUAAUAUAACCAAGAAGAAGGCUAACACACAAAAGCACAUCGGCAACAGUAAAGCUGACAAAGUGGGGAAACCACGAGAUCUAGAAAAUUUUAUCCCUAGGCAUGGCAUUCUAAAGUGCACAAAGCACACAUCAGUGAAAAUGGUCAAGGAGAAACGUGGCAAUUCAGAAGGCAAGGAAGUAAUAGAACUCUGCCGCAAAUCAGUGAAACGUGUCAAAUUCUCAGAAGCAGAUGCUAUACUUGAGCUACCAGAACGACAAAGUCUCUGCAAGAUGUUUUCAGAUGUUAUGGCUUCUUCAUCGUCGUCCUCGUCAUCAUCAUCAUCAUUCACGUCUACCGAAGGAGACAAAUGCGUAACUGCAGAAAGUGGUAGUUCUCAUAUGCCCAUGGAAGCUUCCACUAAGGCGAAAGCAAAUAAGAAUUCAGAUCAUGAGGAUUCUCCUGACAAAAGCAUAACUGCAGAAAGUGGUAGUUCUCAUAUGCCCAUGGAAGCUUCCACUAAGGCGAAAGCAAAUAAGAAUUCAGAUCAUGAGGAUUCUCCUGACAAAAGCAUAACUGCAGAAAGUGGUACUUCUCAUAUUGCCAUGGAAGCUUUCACUAAGACGAAAGAAGUAAAUAAGAAUUCAGAUCAUGAGGAUUCUCCUGAGGCUGGUAACAGAGAGAUGGCCGCUCCUCUCAUUGAUCUGAAUAUGGCGUUACCGGAACCUACUGAACUGGACCAAAGGUAUGAUUCAUAUUCAGAGGUGCUAAAUCUGGAGCAUACACAUGAGGAAACUUUAAGUUCUAAUGUCCAAUUGCAUGAUGGGAGAGAAAACCUGAAGAUUUUUUCUGUUGAUUCACAUAGGCUGGAAAGCGAACAAUCUACUGCUGACUUGGAAAGAAUAACGAAUUCAAGUUUGGCAGGCACAUUAUUGCAUGGUGAGGCGAUAAAAGUUUCUGAUGUAGAUGCUGCUGGUUCUCCAUUGAGCUUAACUGAACUUGCAGAGACUCGUCGUGGUUGCAGUAAUGUUUCAGUAAAAGAUACUAUGACUAUGAGUACGUCUCCUUGUGCAUUGCCAGAUCACACAUUUCCGGAUUCAUUUCGGCAGCACCAGAGUUGGUUUUCCACAAGCGGCAAAUUUUCUUCCUGGCCAUCUCAUGAAUCUAAUGUGUCACACAGUAAGGAGUUCAAUUUUCGUUCUGAGUUGAACAUUCCGCGUGAGAAUGGACCUUCCACAGGACCGACAGUUCGUUUGAUGGGUAAAGAUCUUUCAGUUUGCACGACCAGAGCUGAAUCGUUUUCCGAGACUGCGCAGAAGCAUACAGGUACUUUUACCAAUGACUAUCUCAAGGCAAAUGUGUUCUUGCCACAACAAGGACGGCCUUUUCUCUCUUUACAAGCUCAGAAUUUCCCCAAGGAUACAGCAAAUUCCACCAGUAUAAUUCAUGCUUCAACAUAUCAUGCAAGCGCAAGUCAGGCACGGACUACACAUGAUUAUGGCCACCCUGUCCCGGCAGCUAAUGUACUUUCUGGAGAUCAGUUGACAUAUGAGAACAGGUUUUUUGAUUUUUCAAACUCGCAGACCAAUCGGCCUUUUCUAUUGGGGUGCCCACCUCCUCUCAAUCGUGGCAGUACAGCAUCCCAACAGAAUUCCCCGUCGCGCCGUUAUUACUCUGAUCCUAUCCCUAGGACAGAACCACCCACAGCAUCACCUUUGCCUACAACCAGACAGCAUGGUACAUCAUCUUUAGGUUUCCAUGCCAAUUUGCCUCAGCAACAUGUUGUGCAUCCAGCAAGCUCGUCAGUUUGUCGUCUUAAUUCUGUGGAUUUUACAUUCAACCAUCCAGACCGGGUAGUUCAUACACCUUCCAACAGCAUAAGAGAUGCAACCCUUUCGGCAAGAAAUACAGAUAACACAGUGGGGAGCGCUGUUCUUGGCAAUUUUAAUGCUUCACCUAGUGGUCGGUAUGUGCAGAAGAGAUCAGGGCCAGUGAAGCUCACUCCUGGGGCGAAGCAUGUACUGGUGCCAAACGAUAGCACAGGUGACGGCGAUUCUGCGCCUGUGUACUCCUGUGUUUCGUUCGGAAGUAGGAGCACAAAUGCUGCAGGUCCUCAGAACAAAGGAGCAUGA